AUUGUAUAGCGUUUUCAUUCUGUACAUGAGAUUAUAAAAAUAAGAAAAAUGAAAUCUGCGGGUGGAAAAACAUUAUCGGGUAAUAAUCGUAGAUCGGCCAGUUAAAACGUUCCAUCCGAGGUAACAGUUAUAUUUCAGUCUGGGGAAAAUGGCAUAUGUAUAAGCUGAAUUUGAGUUUAGCUGAUUUUUCCUAAUUAUUACUAGUCGUACGGUCUCCACUCAUUUUUUUUUUCUAUCUUUUGUUCUCUUGAUUUCUUGUGCUUACUUCUAACCUGUUUCAUAUAUAUAGUCUUUUCAACUCACAUUAUUUUGCCAGAUUAAAGGAUAAUUGAGUGUUCACUUUUUUACCGCCCCAUUCUGAUUCAGCAAUGAGCAUUACG
Molecule: long non-coding RNA, 380 nt
Filed under: Mytilus galloprovincialis (Mediterranean mussel)
Lineage: Eukaryota; Metazoa; Mollusca; Bivalvia; Mytilida; Mytilidae
Source: RNAcentral